This is a non-coding RNA of Felis catus (domestic cat), 85 nucleotides long. Lineage: Eukaryota; Metazoa; Chordata; Mammalia; Carnivora; Felidae. The record is from Rfam.
GCCUGGGUGGCUCAGUUGGUAAAGCGUCCAACUUUGGCUCAGGUCAUGAUCUCAUAGGUCGUGGGUUCAAGCCCUGCACCAGGCU